CCUACGGGAGGCUGCAGUGGGGAAUAUUGGACAAUGGGCGAAAGUCUGAUCCAGCCAUGCCGCGUGUGUGAAGAAGGCCUUCGGGUUGUAAAGCACUUUCAGUGGGGAAGAAAGCCUUGGGGCUAAUACCCUCGAGGAAGGACAUCACCCACAGAAGAAGCACCGGCUAACUCCGUGCCAGCAGCCGCGGUAAUACGGAGGGUGCGAGCGUUAAUCGGAAUUACUGGGCGUAAAGCGCGCGUAGGCGGUCUGAUAAGCCGGUUGUGAAAGCCCCGGGCUCAACCUGGGAACGGCAUCCGGAACUGUCAGGCUAGAGUGCAGGAGAGGAAGGUAGAAUUCCCGGUGUAGCGGUGAAAUGCGUAGAGAUCGGGAGGAAUACCAGUGGCGAAGGCGGCCUUCUGGACUGACACUGACGCUGAGGUGCGAAAGCGUGGGUAGCAAACAGGAUUAGAUACCCUGGUAUC
RNAcentral lists this ribosomal RNA (464 nucleotides) under Vreelandella stevensii. Its description in RNAcentral is "partial 16S ribosomal RNA". It matches the Rfam family "Bacterial small subunit ribosomal RNA", at positions 338 to 794 of the family's 1533-position model. The record is from RNAcentral. Lineage: Bacteria; Pseudomonadati; Pseudomonadota; Gammaproteobacteria; Oceanospirillales; Halomonadaceae.